UCUUUUUCUCGUUUCACUGUGGUUAAGUACUGCGGGCUAUGGAGUCGAUUUGCUCCUGAGGUAGUCUUGACAGUUGAUGAUGAGCCAUUCUGGCUGAAGCUUUGGAACAACUGCUGCUAUGACGAUGGCACAAAAAAGAAUGAUAUUCUUUCUGAAACCAAAAGGCAAUGUAAGAAUCAUUCACAAGAAAGAAUGAAGCUUGAGAAAGUAGUUAUGGAGGAUCAACCAUCAAAGCCGCUGCCGUGGACUGUGGGAUUGAAAGGAAUACGUUAGACUGUGAUGUUAAAAUAUAUAAAAGUGAUAACAAAAAUCAAGUACCAAUGGAA
Molecule: long non-coding RNA, 326 nt
Organism: Limulus polyphemus (Atlantic horseshoe crab)
Lineage: Eukaryota; Metazoa; Arthropoda; Merostomata; Xiphosura; Limulidae
Exons: 2
Source: RefSeq, a predicted model, not a curated record